GUAAAGCGAAUGAUUAGAGGCAUCAGGGAUGGAAUAUCCUUGACCUAUUCUCAAACUUUAAAUGGGUAAGAACCCUGGGUUGCUUAAUUGAACCCGGUGGUCGAAUGACGGUUGCUAGUGGGCCAAUCUGGGUAAGCUAGAUUGGCGAUGCGGGAUGAUCCGAACGUGGAGAUAAAGUGCCAAAGUGCUCGCUCACCUAGAUCCCACAAAAGGUGUUGGUUCAUUAAGACAGCAGGACGGUGGCCAUGGAAG
Molecule: ribosomal RNA, 252 nt
Filed under: Hemiselmis virescens
Lineage: Eukaryota; Cryptophyceae; Cryptomonadales; Hemiselmidaceae
Description: partial Eukaryotic large subunit ribosomal RNA
Rfam family: Eukaryotic large subunit ribosomal RNA
Source: RNAcentral